This 260-nucleotide unclassified non-coding RNA is filed under the name Athalia rosae (coleseed sawfly). RNAcentral's name for it is "misc RNA ENSAEAG00005003261.1". The record is from RNAcentral. Lineage: Eukaryota; Metazoa; Arthropoda; Insecta; Hymenoptera; Athaliidae.
CGACAAAAGAGUUGCGCAGAAAUUCUUCAACUCUGAUCAGCACGUCCGGAAUAAUAAUAAUUGGCCAACAGUUGAUGGACGACAAAGUCUACGAGGGCGGAAUCGAGCUCUUGAAGAUCGCAACGAACCCGGAUGCAGCCUAUGAAAUUUGUACGGUUUUCGCACCGAAUUGCGAAUCCCAAUAUCAGAGUCAACACGGCGCGGUUAUUUCACGAAGCAUCUUGAACCCCGGGUCUAUCGCUGUACAAGGAGCCGCCAUC